Molecule: Y RNA, 103 nt
Organism: Monodelphis domestica (gray short-tailed opossum)
Lineage: Eukaryota; Metazoa; Chordata; Mammalia; Didelphimorphia; Didelphidae
Rfam family: Y RNA
About the family: Y RNAs are components of the Ro ribonucleoprotein particle (Ro RNP), in association with Ro60 and La proteins.
Source: Ensembl
GGCUAGUCCCAAGGUAGUAAAUUAUUUCAAUUGUUCAUAGUCAGUUACAGAUUGAGCUCCUUGUUCUCUCUUCCCCUCCCUUUCUGUACUAGAUUAGUCUAAA